RNAcentral lists this ribosomal RNA (277 nucleotides) under uncultured bacterium. Its description in RNAcentral is "partial 16S ribosomal RNA". It matches the Rfam family "Bacterial small subunit ribosomal RNA", at positions 28 to 311 of the family's 1533-position model. The record is from RNAcentral.
GAUAAACGCUGGCGGCGUGCCUAACACAUGCAAGUCGAACGCGCUCUUCUCUUCGCAAGAGGGGGGAGUGAGUGGCGGACGGGUGAGUACCACGUGGGUACCUACCCCAAGAUGAGGAAUACCUCCGAGAAAUCGGAGACAAGACCGCAUAGCCUCUGCACAAGAGGAAAGCCCGCAAGGGCGUCUUGGGAUGGGCCUGCGCCUGAUUAGCUGGUUGGUGGGGUAAGAGCCUACCAAGGCGACGAUCAGUAGCUGGUCUGAGAGGAUGAUCAGCCAC